UACGAAGGGGGCUAGCGUUGUUCGGAAUUACUGGGCGUAAAGCGCGCGCAGGCGGUCCUUUAAGUCAGGGGUGAAAGCCCAGAGCUCAACUCUGGAACUGCCUUUGAAACUAGAGGACUUGGGUACGGGAGAGGUGAGUGGAAUUCCGAGUGUAGAGGUGAAAUUCGUAGAUAUUCGGAAGAACACCAGUGGCGAAGGCGGCUCACUGGCCCGUUACCGACGCUCAGGCGCGACAGCGUGGGGAGCAAUCAGG
RNAcentral lists this ribosomal RNA (253 nucleotides) under uncultured bacterium. RNAcentral's name for it is "partial 16S ribosomal RNA". It matches the Rfam family "Bacterial small subunit ribosomal RNA", at positions 524 to 776 of the family's 1533-position model. The record is from RNAcentral.